This 440-nucleotide ribosomal RNA is filed under the name uncultured bacterium. RNAcentral's name for it is "bacterial SSU rRNA". It matches the Rfam family "Bacterial small subunit ribosomal RNA", at positions 340 to 774 of the family's 1533-position model. The record is from RNAcentral.
UACGGGAGGCAGCAGUGGGGAAUAUUGCACAAUGGGCGCAAGCCUGAUGCAGCCAUGCCGCGUGUAUGAAGAAGGCCUUCGGGUUGUAAAGUACUUUCAGUCGUGAGGAAGGUGUUAAGGUUAAUAACCUUAGCAAUUGACGUUAGCGACAGAAGAAGCACCGGCUAACUCCGUGCCAGCAGCCGCGGUAAUACGGAGGGUGCGAGCGUUAAUCGGAAUUACUGGGCGUAAAGGGCACGCAGGCGGUUAAUUAAGUUGGAUGUGAAAUCCCCGGGCUUAACCUGGGAAUGGCAUUCAAGCUGGUUAGCUAGAGUCUUGUAGAGGGGGUAGAAUUCCAUGUGUAGCGGUGAAAUGCGUAGAGAUGUGGAGGAAUACCGGUGGCGAAGGCGGCCCCUGGACAAAGGACUGACGCUCAUGUGCGAAAGCGUGGGGAGCAAACG